Molecule: ribosomal RNA, 497 nt
Filed under: uncultured bacterium
Lineage: Bacteria
Description: partial 16S ribosomal RNA
Rfam family: Bacterial small subunit ribosomal RNA
Source: RNAcentral
GAUGAACGCUGGCGGCGUGCCUAAUACAUGCAAGUCGAGCGAACAGACGAGGAGCUUGCUCCUCUGACGUUAGCGGCGGACGGGUGAGUAACACGUGGAUAACCUACCUAUAAUACGGGGAUAACUUCGGGAAACCGGAGCUAAUACCGGAUAAUAUAUUGAACCGUAUGGGUCAAUGGAAAAAGACGGCUUUGGGGGAUCGUAUAGAUGGAUCCGCGCCGGAUUAGGUAGUUGGUAAGGUAACGGCUUACCAAGGCAACGAUGCGUAGCCGACCUGAGAGGGUGAUCGGCCACACUGGAACUGAGACACGGUCCAGACUCCUACGGGAGGCAGCAGUAGGGAAUCUUCCGCAAUGGGCGAAAGCCUGACGGAGCAACGCCGCGUGAAUGAUGAAGGUCUUCGGAUCGUAAAACUCUGUUAUUAGGGAAGAACAAAUGUGUAAGUAACUAUGCACGUCUUGACGGUACCUAAUCAGAAAGCCACGGCUAACUACGUG